UUCUUGAGACAUUGCAGGCUCCUGUAUUUGAACAGUCUUUUGAUAUGGACUGCAUCAAGAUGGACUCUGGAAUAAGGUAUAGUUUCUCCUCAGAGGGUUUGAAUCAGAAUGUGACUAUCUUCUUGACGAUGGAGGAUAGCUGCUCCAGGCCUUUACCUGUGAUGUUCCUCCCAAACUCAACCAGAGGGCAGGUCCAGCAUAAAGUCACCAUUCCAGCUUUCAGAGGGCUACAGCAGCAGUAGGACCUCAGCUGGUUAUGACAAGCUUCCACGACAACAAUACCAGGCCACAAAGAGUCCUGGAGCUGAUAGGCAGUCAUUGCUAGGCUCCUUUCCAAGUCCGAGACCUCGUCAUAAGAACCUCUUGUCCUGCCAAAGUGCUGCCUCAAACCUUGGAAGUCCAGAUGUUCUUGUUGAUCAGGUUCUCCAUGAGGAGGAA
Molecule: long non-coding RNA, 438 nt
Organism: Thalassophryne amazonica
Lineage: Eukaryota; Metazoa; Chordata; Actinopteri; Batrachoidiformes; Batrachoididae
Exons: 3
Source: RefSeq, a predicted model, not a curated record